RNAcentral lists this ribosomal RNA (390 nucleotides) under Limosilactobacillus mucosae. Its description in RNAcentral is "bacterial SSU rRNA". It matches the Rfam family "Bacterial small subunit ribosomal RNA", at positions 194 to 571 of the family's 1533-position model. The record is from RNAcentral. Lineage: Bacteria; Bacillati; Bacillota; Bacilli; Lactobacillales; Lactobacillaceae.
UCAAAUUUAAAAGAUGGCUUCGGCUAUCACUUUGGGAUGGACCUGCGGCGCAUUAGCUUGUUGGUAGGGUAACGGCCUACCAAGGCUGUGAUGCGUAGCCGAGUUGAGAGACUGAUCGGCCACAAUGGAACUGAGACACGGUCCAUACUCCUACGGGAGGCAGCAGUAGGGAAUCUUCCACAAUGGGCGCAAGCCUGAUGGAGCAACACCGCGUGAGUGAAGAAGGGUUUCGGCUCGUAAAGCUCUGUUGUUAGAGAAGAACGUGCGUGAGAGCAACUGUUCACGCAGUGACGGUAUCUAACCAGAAAGUCACGGCUAACUACGUGCCAGCAGCCGCGGUAAUACGUAGGUGGCAAGCGUUAUCCGGAUUUAUUGGGCGUAAAGCGAGCG